Non-coding RNA from Acyrthosiphon pisum (pea aphid), 45 nucleotides. Lineage: Eukaryota; Metazoa; Arthropoda; Insecta; Hemiptera; Aphididae. The record is from Rfam.
AAAAAGGUCUUUCUCAAGACCAAUAAAACAAAUAGUAUGACGAAC